Molecule: long non-coding RNA, 2636 nt
Organism: Onychostoma macrolepis
Lineage: Eukaryota; Metazoa; Chordata; Actinopteri; Cypriniformes; Cyprinidae
Exons: 3
Source: RefSeq, a predicted model, not a curated record
AAACUGGAGGCAACAUGGAGGCAGCAUGGUACCAUAGAGGGUUAAAAGCUGCUUUUGAUGUUUGGUACAUCAUUUGGAUAGUUCAUUUUUUGUUUGUCUUUUUCUGGUAUGGUACCCUCUGCAAAUCUCAUGUGCUCUUUUUGAGUUCUCACUGAAUCACAUUAAUCAUUGCUCUUUUGUUGGAGAACGGUGAACACGAGCGGCAAAAGUGAAACACCACUACAACACAGCUGUCAUCACUUAUUAGGACUCACGUAUUAAGUGUUCAUACUCAUUUCUAAUCAUGCAAUCAAAGCAACUCUUCAAAAUACAAGCAUUUCAGAGCGAACAGAUCACUGGAUAUGAUGUGAACAAUGGACUGAAACAAUCUCGAGGAGGAUGAGGACUGGAAGAGCUGGAAGAAAUGAGUGAAGGAGAGGAAGAGGUAGAUCUGGAGGAGGAUGUGGACAAAGAAGAUGUAGACCACAUUUAUCAGAUGUGAUUCGAGCAAACCUCGGUUGACCGUGUUGUAAAGAGAGGCUGGACAGAGAGUUCAGCUCAACCUCAGCACAUUUACUGCUGCUACAGUCAUUCUGACUUUUUGACAAGAGCACAGCAUGGCGGUGGAAGGUUUAUAUCCCUCAAUCAAGCCAUGGAGGAGACCUGUGAACUAACUGUGAUGUGGAUGAAGUGCCAUCAAUAUAUUCAUGUACUUUACUCUAACAGUAUAUCUGAAAAUAUCAAACCCAGAUUACAUUAUUAGAAAAGUGGAACUGUUACAAGUGUUUAAGAUUGAGCACAGCAGUGUGUAAGUGGUGCAAACAGACCUGUAUUUCAGUCAUUGAUUUCACCGUUUCACUUUUUUUUUUUUGUCUUAAAUCUGUUACAGUCAAACUAUGAUCGCGGCUGUGAAAAAAGAGAGAACGACGUCAAUAAUCUGUAAAAAGUGUAAAAGCGCAAACAGGUACUUUCCGUCGUCUUCGCUCCGCCCACCGUCUCCUCCACCAAUCACACGGCUCGUGCUCUCCUACACAACAGAGUUAAAGCGUGCAGCAUCAGAGGACUCGAUCCAGAUGCAGGAGUUUCAUUCAGCUCAAAAGAUCUGAUGAAGGUCUGAGACAUGCAUUUAAAUACAGUUUUGUGUCUAACUGAUUUACAUUGGAGUAUUUUUUUUUUUUUUGUCUCUAAGGAAAAGGGGAUGUUCAAACAGAAUAUAAAGUGUUCACAAGCAGCAUGUACAAGUCUGAGUCUUACUGACUGAUGCUUGAGAUUGAACUGGAUUUUGUAAUUUAGGCUAUUAGACUGAUAGUCUGCGCAGCGGGCGUCCCGAGUUUGAGUCGCGGUGAAGAACUGAAGAGUCGUACAGUACAGUACAUUUGGAAAAGGUGUAGCGCCAGGAUGAAUUACUGAAGGAGGCAUAUUAAGAAUUUCAGAGAGAGAGAAAUUAGCUAAUACAAAUAGAAAUGUUAUGUCAUUAACUGCUAAAAUUAUUGUUUUAUUGUCGCUGUCAAAAGGAAUAUUAAUAAUCACGCACAUGCACAAUUGUAAAACUCAACCUUCACAAUAAAUGUUUUGCUGGAAUAUAAUGAAAUGAAAGAAACUAAGAAAUCUGAAAUGAAUUUGAACUUUAAAUUUUAAUUCUGCAAAUAAAUGAUAUAAAAAAGGUUAAUAUAGUGAAACGAUGGUAACCACAAAUUAGCAUGAUUUUGCUACACUACCAUGGUCUUUGUAAUAAACACGCCAAAAUAACUUUCUACAAUUUUACUAUAAUAAAACCAUUGCAAAUUUUCAUAAACGUGUUGAUAAUUAAAGUGAAAGUUGUCAAGUUUAAGUCCCCAGAAGCAUUAAAUAAUAUUAUUUUUACUUAUUUUUGAGUACCCAAGAAAACGAGGAAUGGAUGACUGGUGCGAGAGCGCUGUUUAUCUUUUAUUUGAUUAACUUGAAACUUGAUUUGUACAGCGCUAUCAUCAUCAUUCAGUGGCUUUGCAAUACGAACAAAAAACAUUACCACGAUGAUUGCGAUUUCGAUUGUAAUCACUAGACAAUAUUUACUUACAGAUUUUACAGCCAUGAAUGCAGUUCGGUAUGAAUGAGAAUUAGAAACAUAGCCUAUUUCAAAAUAAAACCAACCGCUUUUUCAAAAAGUGAAACUCUUACAAAACAAUACGAAAAUUAAUAAACAUCAUACAAUUAAAAAAAAAAAAAAAAACCAGACUGAAAAGUCUGUCAAAUAACAGUAACUAGAACAGUGCUAAAGUUUAUAUCGUGUCGCACUGAAAAAAAGUGCAGGACCCCAAUGAGUGCCGAUGUCCUGCAGUUUAGCUCCAACUCUGAAUAAAACCUCACCUGCCUGUAGCCCUAGUGAUUCUGAAGACCUUGAUUAGCUUGUUCAGGUGUGUUUGAUUAGGGUUGGACCGACGCUGCCUACACCUGUUGUAAACCAUGCCUGUUAAUAGUUCGCUGUAAACCAUAAUUUUAUAGCUGAUACCUUAUUACUUCUAAUAAUAUUUAUUUAGUUUUUUUUUAAUCCAUAAAGCCACAAGAUUAAAAAAAAAAAAAAAACGAAAAGGACCAAAACUCCAUUGUUUAUUACAUCUUCUAUUCAUUUCAAUAUGUACGUUCACUAAGUCUCUGAUUAAAUGUAACAGAAAGCCAUU